ACAGUGGACGCGAGCAUCUGUGGCCAAGUUUUUAAGGGCGCACGGUGGAUGCCUUGGCACCAGGAACCGAUGAAGGACGUGGGAGGCCACGAUAGUCCCCGGGGAGUCGUCAACCAGGCUUUGAUCCGGGGGUUUCCGAAUGGGGAAACCCGGCAGUCGUCAUGGGCUGUCACCCGCUGCUGAACUCAUAGGCAGUGUGGAGGGAACGCGGGGAAGUGAAACAUCUCAGUACCCGCAGGAAGAGAAAACAACCGUGAUUCCGGGAGUAGUGGCGAGCGAAACUGGAUGAGGCCAAACCGUAUGUGUGUGAUACCCGGCAGGGGUUGCGCAUGCGGGGUUGUGGGAUCUCUCUUCCACGGUCUGCCGGCCGUGGGACGAGUCAGAAACCGUUGAUGUAGGCGAAGGACAUGCGAAAGGUCCGGCGUAGAGGGUAAGACCCCCGUAGUCGAAACAUCAGCGGCUCGUUUGAGAGACACCCAAGUAGCACGGGGCCCGAGAAAUCCCGUGUGAAUCUGGCGGGACCACCCGCUAAGCCUAAAUAUUCCCUGGUGACCGAUAGCGGAUAGUACCGUGAGGGAAUGGUGAAAAGUACCGCGGGAGCGGAGUGAAAUAGUACCUGAAACCGUGUGCCUACAAGCCGUGGGAGCGUCGCGCA
Molecule: ribosomal RNA, 655 nt
Filed under: Streptomyces albidoflavus
Lineage: Bacteria; Bacillati; Actinomycetota; Actinomycetes; Kitasatosporales; Streptomycetaceae
Description: partial 23S ribosomal RNA
Rfam family: Bacterial large subunit ribosomal RNA
Source: RNAcentral